GAUGAAGAACGCAGCGAAAUGCGAUAAGUAGUGUGAAUUGCAGAAUUCAGUGAAUCAUCGAAUCUUUGAACGCACAUUGCGCCCCUUGGUAUCCCGAGGGGCAUGCCUGUUCGAGCGUCAUUUCACCACUCAAGCCUGGCUUGGUGUUGGGCGACGUCCCCUUUGGGGAUGCGCCUCGAAACGCUCGGCGGCGUGGCACCGGCUUUAAGCGUAGCAGAAUCUUUCGCUUUGGAAGUCGGGGCCCCGUCUGCCGGAAGACCUACUCGCAAGGUUGACCUCGGAUCAGGCAGGGAUACCCGCUGAACUUAAGCAUAUCAAUAAGCGGAGGA
RNAcentral lists this unclassified non-coding RNA (329 nucleotides) under soil metagenome. Its description in RNAcentral is "partial contains 5.8S ribosomal RNA, internal transcribed spacer 2, and large subunit ribosomal RNA". The stretch from base 1 to 120 matches the Rfam family "5.8S ribosomal RNA", at positions 35 to 154 of the family's 154-position model. The record is from RNAcentral.